UACGAAGGGGGCUAGCGUUGCUCGGAAUCACUGGGCGUAAAGGGAGCGUAGGCGGAUAGUUUAGUCAGAGGUGAAAGCCCAGGGCUCAACCUUGGAACAGCCUUUGAUACUGGCUAUCUUGAGUACGGGAGAGGUGAGUGGAACUCCGAGUGUAGAGGUGAAAUUCGUAGAUAUUCGGAAGAACACCAGUGGCGAAGGCGACUCACUGGCCCGUUACUGACGCUGAGGCUCGAAAGCGUGGGGAGCAAACAGG
Molecule: ribosomal RNA, 253 nt
Filed under: uncultured bacterium
Lineage: Bacteria
Description: partial 16S ribosomal RNA
Rfam family: Bacterial small subunit ribosomal RNA
Source: RNAcentral